RNAcentral lists this ribosomal RNA (729 nucleotides) under uncultured eukaryote. Its description in RNAcentral is "SSU rRNA". It matches the Rfam family "Eukaryotic small subunit ribosomal RNA", at positions 670 to 1426 of the family's 1831-position model. The record is from RNAcentral.
CGGGUGCACUGAUCCAGCCGGGCCUUUCCCUCUGUGGAACCCCAUGGCCUUCACUGGCUGUGGUGGGGAAACAGGACUUUUACUUUGAAAAAAUUAGAGUGCUCCAGGCAGGCCUAUGCUCGAAUACAUUAGCAUGGAAUAAUAGAAUAGGACGUGUGGUUCUAUUUUGUUGGUUUCUAGGACCGCCGUAAUGAUUAAUAGGGACAGUCGGGGGCAUCAGUAUUCAAUUGUCAGAGGUGAAAUUCUUGGAUCUAUUGAAGACUAACUACUGCGAAAGCAUUUGCCAAGGAUGUUUUCAUUGAUAAGGAACGAAAGUUAGGGGAUCGAAGACGAUCAGAUACCGUCGUAGUCUUAACUAUAAACUAUGCCGACUAGGGAUCGGACGAUGUUAUUCUUUGACGCGUUCGGCACCUUUCGAGAAAUCAAAGUGCUUGGGCUCCAGGGGGAGUAUGGUCGCAAGGCUGAAACUUAAAGAAAUUGACGGAAGGGCACCACCAGGGGUGGAACCUGCGGCUUAAUUUGACUCAACACGGGGAAACUCACCAGGUCCAGACACAGUGAGGAUUGACAGAUUGAGAGCUCUUUCUUGAUUCUGUGGGUGGUGGUGCAUGGCCGUUCUUAGUUGGUGGAGUGAUUUGUCUGCUUAACUGCGAUAACGAACGAGACCUUAACCUGCUAAAUAGCCCGUACUGCUUUGGCAGUUCGCCGGCUUCUUAGAGGGACUAUCGG